UGGACAGACAGACAGAACAGCUGAUAUCA
Molecule: non-coding RNA, 29 nt
Filed under: Mus musculus (house mouse)
Lineage: Eukaryota; Metazoa; Chordata; Mammalia; Rodentia; Muridae
Source: RNAcentral